RNAcentral lists this ribosomal RNA (253 nucleotides) under uncultured bacterium. RNAcentral's name for it is "partial 16S ribosomal RNA". It matches the Rfam family "Bacterial small subunit ribosomal RNA", at positions 524 to 776 of the family's 1533-position model. The record is from RNAcentral.
GACGAACCGUGCAAACGUUAUUCGGAAUCACUGGGCAUAAAGGGCGCGUAGGCGGCUUUCUAAGUCAGGGGUGAAAUCCGGCAGCUCAACUGUCGCAGUGCCUUUGAUACUGGAGAGCUCGAGGGAGGUAGGGGUCUGUGGAACUUCCGGUGGAGCGGUGAAAUGCGUUGAUAUCGGGAGGAACAUCAGUGGCGAAGGCGGCCCUCUGGUCCAGUACUGACACUCAAGUGCGAAAGCGUGGGGAGCAAACAGG